GAUGAACGCUGGCGGCGUGCCUAAUACAUGCAAGUCGAGCGAACAGAUAAGGAGCUUGCUCCUUUGACGUUAGCGGCGGACGGGUGAGUAACACGUGGGUAACCUACCUAUAAGACUGGGAUAACUUCGGGAAACCGGAGCUAAUACCGGAUAACAUUUGGAACCGCAUGGUUCUAAAGUGAAAGAUGGUUUUGCUAUCACUUAUAGAUGGACCCGCGCCGUAUUAGCUAGUUGGUAAGGCAACGGCUUACCAAGGCGACGAUACGUAGCCGACCUGAGAGGGUGAUCGGCCACACUGGAACUGAGACACGGUCCAGACUCCUACGGGAGGCAGCAGUAGGGAAUCUUCCGCAAUGGGCGAAAGCCUGACGGAGCAACGCCGCGUGAGUGAUGAAGGGUUUCGGCUCGUAAAACUCUGUUAUUAGGGAAGAACAAACGUGUAAGUAACUGUGCACGUCUUGACGGUACCUAAUCAGAAAGCCACGGCUAACUACGUG
Molecule: ribosomal RNA, 497 nt
Filed under: uncultured bacterium
Lineage: Bacteria
Description: partial 16S ribosomal RNA
Rfam family: Bacterial small subunit ribosomal RNA
Source: RNAcentral